CCCUCAUUUUAUUCCGAAAAACUUCUAAAAAUCGGUGGGUGGGGUUAGCUAACCCCACCUCAAAUGGGUUAUCCCGGGUUAACUAACCCCACCUCAAAUGGGUUAUCCCGGAUUAACUAACCCCACCUCACCCCACCAAACCCCAACCAAAUAUUAUUUUCUAUUCAUAAUAACCUACUAUCUUUCUUAUCCCACCUAAUUCAACCAAACACUAUUUUUCACUAUUCUGGACUAACUUUAACCCCCAACCAAACACAAAAAUACUUUGACCCCACCUUAACCUGAACUUAACCCUAUCCCUGAAAUAACUAUUUUUUCCUUAACCCCGAACUAAACGGGUUAUUAUAGGCAUAUGUAUAUCAAAUUUAAAGAAUAAAACUAUAGUGUUACAAAUUAGAAUUGAUGAUCGAAAGAGUUAAACUUUAUCGAAAAUAAAGUGAUGGAUCAGAACUUAGAGAAACUUAUGAUUCUGUAGAAAAGUAUUGAACUUAUUUUAGAUUAUCUGAGAAGUCACGAACUUAAUUAUUUACGUAAAAUUUAUUCUUAUGAUUAUUCUUUCCUUAUAAGAUA
This 570-nucleotide long non-coding RNA is filed under the name Ananas comosus (pineapple). RNAcentral's name for it is "long non-coding RNA (ACOM_LNC001491)". The record is from RNAcentral. Lineage: Eukaryota; Viridiplantae; Streptophyta; Magnoliopsida; Poales; Bromeliaceae.